RNAcentral lists this long non-coding RNA (619 nucleotides) under Prunus dulcis (almond). RNAcentral's name for it is "sRNA ncRNA". The record is from RNAcentral. Lineage: Eukaryota; Viridiplantae; Streptophyta; Magnoliopsida; Rosales; Rosaceae.
GUCAACUCCAUCCAAAACUUUGUUAAAUCUGAUGACGUGAUAUGGAAUUUUUGGUAAUUUCAUCCAUGUGGCCCUUUUUAAAUAAUUUAAAGAAAAUUUUAUAAGAGCCUAAAUUAAAAUAAAUAAAUAAAUAAAAGCCAGCACCAUCUUCUCCAUAUUGCCACCACCAUCUUCUCCACAUUGCACCACCACCCCUGUCAGCAAACCCAGCCGCAUUAGCCCACCCCAAAUUCAAGCCCUAUCACCAUCGCGAUCCAAUCUCCACCAUCGACACCCAACUUCAAGAACAAGCAAGAAUCAAGGAGCAUAUAAUCUAGAUCUGACGUUCCUCAAUCUCUCUAUUUUUUUACUUUUCUUCACAACCUCUCAAUCUCCUUUUUUGGACUAUGGUGCGGGAGCUUACGUUGUUGAGUUGUGGGGGGGACUGUGGCAAAUUGGUGCGUAUUGGGGGAAGGCGGUUACUAGGUUUGUAGGGGGAACUAUGGCAGAUUGGUGCGUGUUGGGGUGUGGUCUACCAUGGGCAAGUUGUACGUGGGGAUGAAGUUCAACUUAAGGGUGGCGUGGGCAGCGUGGGAAAGAUUGGGGGAGAUGGUGGUUGUAGGGAAGAAGGUCGGGGUUG